This 511-nucleotide small RNA is filed under the name Pongo abelii (Sumatran orangutan). RNAcentral's name for it is "processed transcript". The record is from RNAcentral. Lineage: Eukaryota; Metazoa; Chordata; Mammalia; Primates; Hominidae.
CGGCAGCCCAGCACUCCGAUGGGAGCUUGCCUGAUUGUCAACCCAUCGGCCUGGACCCCAGAGCCCACCCAGCUGAGCGUGUGCAGAGGGCCCCGAGUGCGGGGCGACGCUCAGGCUGUUGCAGAGACCACCCUGGAGAUGCUGAUGAAGACAGGCCUUUCGUGCUGAGCCCGGCCUAUCUGCGCAGCCUGCUCAGGCGCUGUCCACGCCCCGAGGCCUGGGCUCAGGCCGAAGUUGCUCCACAGCACCCCCAGCUGACAGCCAGCGACUGGCAGAGCCCCCAGGCACGGGGGCCCUCUCUCUUCCAGAGAUCUCCAGUGUGACAGCCCAGGCGGCAGAGCCGAGGGUGAGUGGUGGGGGUUCUUCUGGAGCCCUUUGGGGGUAAGAAGGAGGGAGGCCGUGCCCUUGUUAGAACUUCCUGGUCUUCUCCUUAAGUUUGAUCACCCUGCUGAUGUGCUUCCCUCUCAAAGGCAGGGGUCCUGUUCUUCCUGAGUGCAUAGCCAGAUUCCCA